GCCCGAGUGGUGAAAUCGGUAGACGCAGUGGACUCAAAAUCCACCGGUAGCAAUACCAUGACGGUUCGAGUCCGUCCCCGGGCACCA
Molecule: transfer RNA, 87 nt
Filed under: Erysipelotrichaceae bacterium
Lineage: Bacteria; Bacillati; Bacillota; Erysipelotrichia; Erysipelotrichales; Erysipelotrichaceae
Also listed under: 1 other name
Description: tRNA-Leu
Rfam family: tRNA
About the family: Transfer RNA (tRNA) molecules are approximately 80 nucleotides in length. Their secondary structure includes four short double-helical elements and three loops (D, anti-codon, and T loops).
Source: RNAcentral